UGCAAACUGACUGACUGUAAA
This 21-nucleotide non-coding RNA is filed under the name Mus musculus (house mouse). The record is from RNAcentral. Lineage: Eukaryota; Metazoa; Chordata; Mammalia; Rodentia; Muridae.